GACGAACGCUGGCGGCGUGCUUAACACAUGCAAGUCGAACGGAAAGGCCCUUUUCGGGGGGUACUCGAGUGGCGAACGGGUGUGUAACACGCGAGUAACCUGCCCUUGUCUCUGGGAUAACUCCUGGAAACUGGGGCUCAUACCGGAUAGGAGCUCCUGUUCCACGGUGGGGGUUGGGAAGAUUCGGCGGUGGGGGAUGGACUCGCGGCUUAUCAGCUUGUUGGUGGGGUAGUGGCUUACCAAGGGUUUGACGGGUAGCCGGCCUGAGAGGGUGACCGGCCACAUUGGGACUGAGAUACGGCCCAGACUCCUACGGGAGGCAGCAGUGGGGAAUAUUGCACAAUGGGUGGAAGCCUGAUGCAGCAACGCCGUGUGCGGGAUGACGGCCUUCGGGUUGUAAACCGCUUUCGCCUGUGACGAAGCGUGAGUGACGGUAAUGGGUAAAGAAGCACCGGCUAACUACGUG
Molecule: ribosomal RNA, 466 nt
Filed under: uncultured bacterium
Lineage: Bacteria
Description: partial 16S ribosomal RNA
Rfam family: Bacterial small subunit ribosomal RNA
Source: RNAcentral